GGCGGGCCUGGCGAGGUAUCCCCACACCCCGCCAGCUUGAGCCCGGCGAGGUGUCGGUGCGGCCCCUCCGUACGGGUCUGGGGGAUCGUCA
This 91-nucleotide transfer RNA is filed under the name Actinomadura sp. RB99. Its description in RNAcentral is "tRNA-Ser". The record is from RNAcentral. Lineage: Bacteria; Bacillati; Actinomycetota; Actinomycetes; Streptosporangiales; Thermomonosporaceae.